This 425-nucleotide ribosomal RNA is filed under the name uncultured bacterium. RNAcentral describes it as "bacterial SSU rRNA". It matches the Rfam family "Bacterial small subunit ribosomal RNA", at positions 355 to 796 of the family's 1533-position model. The record is from RNAcentral.
UAGGGAAUCUUGCACAAUGGGCGAAAGCCUGAUGCAGCGACGCCGCGUGCGGGAUGACGGCCCUCGGGUUGUAAACCGCUUUCAGCAGGGACGAAAUUGACGGUACCUGCAGAAGAAGCCCCGGCCAACUACGUGCCAGCAGCCGCGGUAAUACGUAGGGGGCAAGCGUUGUCCGGAUUUAUUGGGCGUAAAGAGCUCGUAGGCGGUUCGACAAGUCGGAUGUGAAAUCUCCACGCUCAACGUGGAGGGGCCAUUCGAAACUGUCGUGACUUGAGUCCGGUAGGGGAGUGUGGAAUUCCCGGUGUAGCGGUGAAAUGCGCAGAGAUCGGGAGGAACACCCGUAGCGAAGGCGGCACUCUGGGCCGUGACUGACGCUGAGGAGCGAAAGCGUGGGGAGCAAACAGGAUUAGAUACCCCGGUAGUCC